UACGUAGGGUGCAAGCGUUAAUCGGAAUUACUGGGCGUAAAGCGUGCGCAGGCGGUUGUGCAAGACAGAUGUGAAAUCCCCGGGCUCAACCUGGGAAUUGCAUUUGUGACUGCACGGCUAGAGUGUGUCAGAGGGGGGUAGAAUUCCACGUGUAGCAGUGAAAUGCGUAGAGAUGUGGAGGAAUACCGAUGGCGAAGGCAGCCCCCUGGGAUAACACUGACGCUCAUGCACGAAAGCGUGGGGAGCAAAC
This 250-nucleotide ribosomal RNA is filed under the name uncultured bacterium. Its description in RNAcentral is "partial 16S ribosomal RNA". It matches the Rfam family "Bacterial small subunit ribosomal RNA", at positions 524 to 773 of the family's 1533-position model. The record is from RNAcentral.